This 71-nucleotide transfer RNA is filed under the name Camelus bactrianus (Bactrian camel). It matches the Rfam family "tRNA". Rfam says of the family: Transfer RNA (tRNA) molecules are approximately 80 nucleotides in length. Their secondary structure includes four short double-helical elements and three loops (D, anti-codon, and T loops). Further hydrogen bonds mediate the characteristic L-shaped molecular structure. tRNAs have two regions of fundamental functional importance: the anti-codon, which is responsible for specific mRNA codon recognition, and the 3' end, to which the tRNAs corresponding amino acid is attached (by aminoacyl-tRNA synthetases). tRNAs cope with the degeneracy of the genetic code in two manners: having more than one tRNA (with a specific anti-codon) for a particular amino acid; and 'wobble' base-pairing, i.e. permitting non-standard base-pairing at the 3rd anti-codon position. Lineage: Eukaryota; Metazoa; Chordata; Mammalia; Artiodactyla; Camelidae. The record is from Rfam by way of RNAcentral. RNAcentral also lists the same sequence under 1 other name.
GUAGGUGUAGCUCAGUGAUAGAGUGCAUGCUUAACAUGCAUGAGGUCCUGGCUUCAAUCCCCAGUACCUCG